This 237-nucleotide long non-coding RNA is filed under the name Elaeis guineensis (African oil palm). Its description in RNAcentral is "long non-coding RNA (EGUI_LNC019648)". The record is from RNAcentral. Lineage: Eukaryota; Viridiplantae; Streptophyta; Magnoliopsida; Arecales; Arecaceae.
GUGGUCUAGCCCCCCCUCUUAGGGUCAACCAUGAAUUAGAUUUGCCUAGAUAUCUAGACCUCCACUAGUUCAAAAGACAUCUAGAGAGAGAAUCAGUGGAAAGAAAAAGUACAAAAGAGAGAAAAAGUAUUGAGAAGAGAGAAAGUGUAGAAGAGAGAGAGAAAUUUCUUCUAAUUUCUCUCUCUCUAUCUCUCUCCGCCUCUCAUUUUCUCCUUCAUGGGAAAGAAAGCAGGGAAA